Molecule: long non-coding RNA, 1078 nt
Filed under: Rattus norvegicus (Norway rat)
Lineage: Eukaryota; Metazoa; Chordata; Mammalia; Rodentia; Muridae
Description: long non-coding RNA NONRATT030453
Source: RNAcentral
GUCCUUUCUAAAGAUACUACACGGAUUUCCUGUAUCCCCCGGAGCUGAGCGCUCGUUUAAGUGACCUGACGCUAGAGGGGGAGCAGUCUUCCAGUUCUGAUACCCAGACCCCAGGGACACUGGUCUGACCCUAAGCCCUGUGUCGGUCUGGACAGACAGACUCCAGUCUGAGGAGCACACACAGUCAACCUCGCUGAGCCCUGAGAUGUGGUUGUUCUUGGUCCUGCGGGACAACUGCCUGAUCUCACAGGACCCCUGGCUUCCUUUUGGCCCGGGAAGAUGUCUGAUACCCCUGCUUUUCUUCUUACCCUGUGCUGGGGGUCUGGAGGGCCCCAGCUAGCUUCAAAGAGGGGGAUAACGGUGUGGCGACUGCUUCUUCCUCCAUUUCUGUUUACACUUGUGAUUUAGCAUUCACUGUCUUUGCCCAACACUCGGUGUUUUAUAAAAGGGAAACUGAGCUCAUUCCUGGUUGGGUUCAUUCCUGUCCCCGUGCCCAGCCUGUUCCAUUCCAGAGCCACCACCCUGCCUCAACAGAAUGGACCACAUAGAGUCUCGGGACUAGGACUGCUGUGAACAGAGCUCCCUGCCUCCUCCCACUAGAGUUCUCGAGCAGGUGGGCUUCUGUCUACAUUUGGAAGGAUGGGAGUCUAAGUAGGGUACCUGAAGGAGUUAUAUCUCUGUCUCUGCCCAUAGCCUCUAGGAUGACCUUCCCCAAUGAGAAGGCCGUACAAGAGGUUGUCAAGAAACAGAGCCAUUUGAGUAUGUUGCAUCCUGGGAUGCUGCAGUGGUUAAACCUGGCAACUAGUACAUGCCAGUAAAACCCUCAGGUGACAUCUGGCCAUGGGCCACAGGCCACAUCAUGUCCUCCUUGGCAUUCCUUCUAUUUAUCACUUUUUAAACAAAUCCACAUAAGGUGUGUUUUCUAUAUUGUCUGUGACUUUCUGGAGCUGGGGGUUCCCCUACCCCCUUUACCUGGUGUUUAAAUUUUUCUUUUUGUACCAAUGGAUCUGGGCCCAAGACACUACUCACACUGGACGGGGAUUUCUAUAAUAAAUGUAUAAACUGAACUUAAUUCAUU